GCUGAUCUAGACCACCAUUCACUUUCUGGUCUAAACCAACAACAGUUUUAUUAGCUUUUACUGAUUCCUCUUGCAUUUUAAUCUUCAUUUUUUGGCCAGCACCACCUCUGCUUUCUGUAGAUUUUUUUGACGUAGAAGAAGUGGAGUUACUGCACAUUUUCUUAUCUCUAAGUAGUCUUGCUACCUUGGCCUUGUGCUUCUUACCUUGAGGAUGCUCAUGUAGACCACCCUUCACUUUCUGGUUUAAGCCACCAACAGUUUUAUUAGCUUUAACUGAUUCCUUUUGCACUUUAGUCUUCAUUUUUUGGUCAGCACCACCUCUGCUUUCUAUAGAUUUUUUUGACGUAGAUGAGGUGGAGUUACUGCACAUUUUUUUAUCUCUAAGUAGUCUUGCUACCUUGCCCUUGUGCUUCUUACCUUGAGGAGGAUGCUCAUCUAGAGCACCCUUCACUUUCUGAUUUAAACCGCC
RNAcentral lists this long non-coding RNA (469 nucleotides) under Citrus sinensis (sweet orange). Its description in RNAcentral is "long non-coding RNA (CSIN_LNC003102)". Lineage: Eukaryota; Viridiplantae; Streptophyta; Magnoliopsida; Sapindales; Rutaceae. The record is from RNAcentral.